This 901-nucleotide long non-coding RNA is filed under the name Olea europaea subsp. europaea. The record is from RNAcentral. Lineage: Eukaryota; Viridiplantae; Streptophyta; Magnoliopsida; Lamiales; Oleaceae.
UUUUUUUUAAUCACGCAUACUCCGAAUAAAAUAUUUUACACGUAAACUCAAAUUUUUUUCAUACUUUUUAACUACAUAUUUUUCAAAAAAUCACUAUUCCAAAACUCAUUUUCCCCAAAAUACUCGUGUCCCAACUACUUAUUGAUUACAUAAGUCGACUCAACACAGGUGGACAAUUGACGUCGGCUGGACCAGUACUUGGGUGAAGAUAGUGAAUGAGUGGCUAGCAGCCUGCAUUUACAGUAAGUAAUUUCAUCUUUCUUCCCAUCCUAGCUUGUUUAUAUUAUGAGCAAACUUAUAAGGCUUUGUUUGGCCCUCACCUCACUUCCUACCAUUGUUCUAUAAACAAAGACUUCUGAUAAUGCAGUAUGGAUGCUAGUGGCUCCAGUCAUUUGGAAAAGCAGGCAAGCAGCUGAAGCUGAAUUACCAACACCUUGACUGUUAAGCUCAAUGGAAUUGUUUUUCUAGCUCCAUCUCCAUAAAUUCUGUGGCUCGCUCUUGCUCCAGAAACGAAAAUAUCCUAUUGGAUUUGGACUCAAGAUCGAACAUGACUAGCCAGCAUUCUUUGUAGUGCUUAUAAUUUGGAGCAAGAAAAGAAAAGAAAAGCAGAAAGUCUUGAUACAUGUGAAUAAUAUAUAGUCAUGGUGUCACAUAGCAAUGCAUUCUUUUAACUGUAGAAGCUCUUAUUUUCUUAAUUAUAUUAAUCAAAUGAAGAAGAAAAUGAUUUUUGAGAAUUAUCUGGCUCGCUCGAUUACUGAGUUGAGCAUAAAUGAAAAUUUUCCUUUAUGUAAAUCUAUUUAUGUCGUGUUAACAAACCUUUAUUUGCAUAAUAGAUAAUGAAAAUUUAGUAUAUUGGAGAGAGGGAAAUCUAGCAGGAUUAUGAAGAGGGCAACUAGUGAGA